AGUGAACGCUGGCGGUAGGCCUAACACAUGCAAGUCGAACGGCAGCACAGUAAGAGCUUGCUCUUACGGGUGGCGAGUGGCGGACGGGUGAGGAAUACAUCGGAAUCUACUUUUUCGUGGGGGAUAACGUAGGGAAACUUACGCUAAUACCGCAUACGACCUACGGGUGAAAGCAGGGGAUCUUCGGACCUUGCGCGAUUGAAUGAGCCGAUGUCGGAUUAGCUAGUUGGCGGGGUAAAGGCCCACCAAGGCGACGAUCCGUAGCUGGUCUGAGAGGAUGAUCAGCAACACUGGAACUGAGACACGGUCCAGACUCCUACGGGAGGCAGCAGUGGGGAAUAUUGGACAAUGGGCGCAAGCCUGAUCCAGCCAUACCGCGUGGGUGAAGAAGGCCUCCGGGUUGUAAAGCCCUUUUGUUGGGAAAGAAAAGCAGCAGGUUAAUACCCCGCUGUUCUGACGGUACCCAAAGAAUAAGCACCGGCUAACUUCGUG
RNAcentral lists this ribosomal RNA (492 nucleotides) under uncultured bacterium. Its description in RNAcentral is "partial 16S ribosomal RNA". It matches the Rfam family "Bacterial small subunit ribosomal RNA", at positions 29 to 507 of the family's 1533-position model. The record is from RNAcentral.